UACCCGCUGAGUUUAAGCAUAUCAAUAAGCGGAGGAGAAGAAACUAACAAGGAUUCCCCUAGUAACGGCGAGCGAACC
Molecule: ribosomal RNA, 78 nt
Filed under: Combretum celastroides subsp. orientale
Lineage: Eukaryota; Viridiplantae; Streptophyta; Magnoliopsida; Myrtales; Combretaceae
Description: partial 26S ribosomal RNA
Rfam family: Eukaryotic large subunit ribosomal RNA
Source: RNAcentral